AUAGACGAGGGUUUGUAUGGAAACGUAGCACAGGGAUCACAGUUCCGAGGGGCUUAGAGUCAGACUUCUCGUGUUUUCUGAAGGCAACCAGGGCCUGAGGAGCUAGUCUUAAUAGUGUCUUCGGAAGCCAUAACCAGAUCUAAUUAGAGCCUCCUUUUUAGUCAGCUCUUCUCAGCCUUGGCUGCACAUUAGAAUCAGCUGGGGGGGCUUAAAAACCUCCAGUGCCCAAGCUUCACCCCAGACUAAUUAAAUCAAAAUCUCUGGGGGUGGGGCUCAGACAGCAGCAGUUUUUAAAGCCCCCAGGUGAUUCCAACAUGCGGCCAAGGCUGGGAGCCACUUUUCUAAUUUGUGAAGCCAGAAGCAGCAGCAAGAAAGUUUGACUCUGGAGCCUGGGCUCUGCAUGCUAAAAUAGACCACUCCCAGCACUGGCUGCACAUCAGGCAGGAGUCGGAUUUGCCCUCCAACUGGGUCUGAUCAUCCAGUGGCCUAAAGUUUACGGGAGAAGCAAACCAAAUGACUGAAAACAGUCCAGGAGAUGUGUUUGUGUGCAUUCGCCAUAAAAAGUAAAGAAGAAAGUUUCCUCCCCAAGAACUGAACACACAGUCUGAGGUUCUGUUCUGCAGGACAGCAGGUUGCCACUGAAAUGGCAAUUGGUCAUAUAUACGUGGCUCUGAGGGCUCCUUAAGAACUUGGACUCUUCAGAAGGACGUCGGGUGAAAAGUUCACAGCACAAGUUUUCAGGUUCAUGAACAGUAGAAUCCCCUCACGACACCAAACAGUGAGGAGCAGUUGGACUGGCAGCUCACCCCGAGGCAGUAAUUUUAUGUCCCAGCCUUUAGUUUUGCUUGCUAACAACAUCAUCUAGGGGUUACGGGUUUAUACGUGGGGCGCCUACCACAGCAUGGCUGCCAAGCAGUGCCAUGUCCGCACCCGGGAUCCGAACCAGCGAACCCCGGGCCGCCGAGAAGCGGAACGUGCGAACUUAACCGCUGCGCCACCGGGCCGGCCCCAUGUGUGUUUCUUAACACCUUGUAAGACUAAAGAAACGAGAAUUUUUAGAGGUCAACAUAUGGGAAGAAAGGAAAGAUCAUUUAGAGAAUUUAUAUGGAAUCUGAAGAAGCUGAAGAAACAAAGUGGGAUUUGUGGAGGCAGAAUGCACCUAUGUUUGUUUCUGGUGAGAAGGGAGAAUGCUCAAAUAUAUGUAGAAAGUGUUCAAGAUAUAGUUUUCCCAAUUAUAAGUCUUCAUCUAAAGCAGUGAAUUGAAAAAUUCGUUCUUCUUUCCUCAGCACUGAAACCGCUCUGGGGCCGUGUUUUACUGGCUCGGAUCCCCACGUCCUAACCCGUCUGUGGAACUAUGGCCGUUUUAGAUGUGCUGAAGUGGACUGAAGAGAUCAAAUUCUACAGUACAGUUAAAUUCAUUUGGCUGUGGUAUCCAAUAACCCUCAUUUUAAUUUUUGUCUUUUGGGAAAAUAUAGAUUUGUAUUUAAUUUUAUUCUCACGUGUCUAGAGGCACCGUAAUGGAUGGAUUUUACAAUGAGAAAAUAAAAUAACGAGGCUAUAAAUAAACACAUUCGUCACUGCUGGGCAGUGAAUUCUACACAUAUAUUGCUAGAGUAAUGGCUUUGAAGGAAUAUGUUAAGCCUAGUGAAAAAUCAGAGAGUACAAUUCUACUAAAGUUAAAUUUAUUGCGCUUUUAGGCAGGCCCUCUAAACAGCUAUGAUCUAUUUGUAUUGUGUGGUGGACAGUCGUGCUGUUUUUUGUUCUUAAAUGACGAUGUGCUAUCAGUUGGCGUUUUCAUCCUGCUGCUUUAAUAUGCAUAAAUCCCAUUAUACUCUACGGCUGAUGCUUUUAAGAUGAGAUGGUAGCUUUCCUGACCCAUUGGUUGAUUUAUUUUAGCAACUGAGAAAGUAUCAAACAAUUGAAGUUGGAUCCUAUUAAUCUUUGCUUGCGUUCUAUCUUUUCUCUCUGUAGUUUUUAUUCUCAAAGCUGAGAAAGAAAGAGUGCUACCAAGUAUGCAUAUCCCAAAAAACGCUUUAAAUUGGAUGUGAAUCACAGUUUGGAAAUUGAUCGUGUUUCCUGGCACUGGGAUAAUGAAAAACUGCUUUAAAACGCAUUUAUCUGCCUUGCUUGAAAGAUCCUAUGUCAUAUUAAUAUGAAAGUUUUUGAGGUCUAAGUUUUUCUUUUUUUUGCAAUAAGUGUUUAUGUACCUGACAAAUAAUGUGCAAUGUUGCUUUGGGGAGAAGUAAACUGAUAUAUGUUCCAAUAAAUAGAUUUUAAUUUUCCAAGAAUUUAACUGGUUGAAUGUAGACCUGUCUUAUUUUUAGGUUGGAAUAUACUGACCGUAGGGAAAUGUUGCUCUAGAUGUGGUCUUUGGCCUAGGUUCCCUUUUCCCACAUUUUUUUGGAAAAUGUUUACAACAAGAAAUACAAAAAAGGGUUGAAAUUUGCACCUAAAAUCUUGUACCCCUCAUUAGACUAGAAAUUUUGGUGGGAAGCAGAUGGUGAUUUAGAUGCUGAUAUCCUAUAAAAAGCAAAAGUACCUUUCGGAUAUUUGAAAAUAAGAAAAUUAA
Long non-coding RNA from Equus caballus (horse), 2569 nucleotides. Lineage: Eukaryota; Metazoa; Chordata; Mammalia; Perissodactyla; Equidae. The record is from Ensembl.